RNAcentral lists this ribosomal RNA (492 nucleotides) under uncultured bacterium. Its description in RNAcentral is "partial 16S ribosomal RNA". It matches the Rfam family "Bacterial small subunit ribosomal RNA", at positions 29 to 507 of the family's 1533-position model. The record is from RNAcentral.
AGUGAACGCUGGCGGUAGGCCUAACACAUGCAAGUCGAACGGUAGCACAGUAAGAGCUUGCUCUUACGGGUGGCGAGUGGCGGACGGGUGAGGAAUACAUCGAAAUCUACUUUUUCGUGGGGGAUAACGUAGGGAAACUUACGCUAAUACCGCAUACGACCUACGGGUGAAAGCAGGGGAUCUUCGGACCUUGCGCGAUUGAAUGAGCCGAUGUCGGAUUAGCUAGUUGGCGGGGUAAAGGCCCACCAAGGCGACGAUCCGUAGCUGGUCUGAGAGGAUGAUCAGCCACACUGGAACUGAGACACGGUCCAGACUCCUACGGGAGGCAGCAGUGGGGAAUAUUGGACAAUGGGCGCAAGCCUGAUCCAGCCAUACCGCGUGGGUGAAGAAGGCCUUCGGGUUGUAAAGCCCUUUUGUUGGGAAAGAAAGGCAGCAGGUUAAUACCCCGCUGUUCUGACGGUACCCAAAGAAUAAGCACCGGCUAACUUCGUG